RNAcentral lists this ribosomal RNA (528 nucleotides) under uncultured bacterium. Its description in RNAcentral is "bacterial SSU rRNA". It matches the Rfam family "Bacterial small subunit ribosomal RNA", at positions 373 to 919 of the family's 1533-position model. The record is from RNAcentral.
GGGGGCAACCCUGAUCCAGCAAUGCCGCGUGUGUGAAGAAGGUCUUCGGAUUGUAAAGCCCUUUUGGCGGGGACGAUGAUGACGGUACCCGCACAAUAAGCCCCGGCUAACUUCGUGCCAGCAGCCGCGGUAAUACGAAGGGGGCUAGCGUUGCUCGGAAUGACUGGGCGUAAAGGGCGCGUAGGCUACUGGGCCUAAAGCGUGCGAAAUUCCUGGGCUCAACCUGGGGACUGCUUUUCGUACUUGUGAGCUAGAUUGUGAAAGAGGGUUGUGGAAUUUCCUGUGUAAAGGUGAAAUUCGUAGAUAUUGGAAAGAACACCGGUGGCGAAGGCGGCAACCUGGUCCUUUGCUGACGCUGACGCCCUGAAGCGUGGGGAGCAAACAGGAUUAAAUACCCUGGUAGUCCACGCGAUUAAAUACGUGUGCUGGAUGUUGGGGUGCUUAGUUCUUCAGUGUCUAGCUAACACGAUAAGCACACCGCCUGGGGAGUACGGCCGCAAGGUUGAAACUCAAAAGAAUUGACGGGUU